This 273-nucleotide ribosomal RNA is filed under the name uncultured Oscillospiraceae bacterium. RNAcentral's name for it is "partial 16S ribosomal RNA". It matches the Rfam family "Bacterial small subunit ribosomal RNA", at positions 69 to 339 of the family's 1533-position model. Lineage: Bacteria; Bacillati; Bacillota; Clostridia; Eubacteriales; Oscillospiraceae. The record is from RNAcentral.
AGAGAGGAAGCUUGCUUCCUCAAUCGAGUGGCGAACGGGUGAGUAACGCGUGAGGAACCUGCCUCAAAGAGGGGGACAACAGUUGGAAACGACUGCUAAUACCGCAUAAUGUAUUCGGAAGGCAUCUUCUGGAUACCAAAGGAGAAAUCCGCUGAUGGAUGGGCUCACGUCUGAUUAGCUAGUUGGUGAGGUAACGGCCCACCAAGGCGACGAUUGGUAGCCGGACUGAGAGGUUGAACGGCCACAUUGGGACUGAGACACGGCCCAGACUCC